AUUGAACGCUGGCGGCAGGCUUAACACAUGCAAGUCGAGCGGGGUGAUGGUGCUUGCACUAUCACUUAGCGGCGGACGGGUGAGUAACGCUUAGGAAUCUGCCUAUUAGUGGGGGACAACAUCUCGAAAGGGAUGCUAAUACCGCAUACGUCCUACGGGAGAAAGCAGGGGAUCACUUGUGACCUUGCGCUAAUAGAUGAGCCUAAGUCGGAUUAGCUAGUUGGUGGGGUGAAGGCCUACCAAGGCGACGAUCUGUAGCGGGUCUGAGAGGAUGAUCCGCCACACUGGGACUGAGACACGGCCCAGACUCCUACGGGAGGCAGCAGUGGGGAAUAUUGGACAAUGAGGGGAACCCUGAUCCAGCCAUGCCGCGUGUGUGAAGAAGGCCUUAUGGUUGUAAAGCACUUUAAGCGAGGAGGAGGCUCUUUUGGUUAAUACCCAAGAUGAGUGGACGUUACUCGCAGAAUAAGCACCGGCUAACUCUGUGCCAGCAGCCGCCGUAA
This 503-nucleotide ribosomal RNA is filed under the name uncultured bacterium. RNAcentral's name for it is "partial 16S ribosomal RNA". It matches the Rfam family "Bacterial small subunit ribosomal RNA", at positions 30 to 523 of the family's 1533-position model. The record is from RNAcentral.